This 496-nucleotide ribosomal RNA is filed under the name uncultured bacterium. RNAcentral's name for it is "partial 16S ribosomal RNA". It matches the Rfam family "Bacterial small subunit ribosomal RNA", at positions 28 to 507 of the family's 1533-position model. The record is from RNAcentral.
GAUGAACGCUGGCGGCGUGCCUAAUACAUGCAAGUCGAGCGAACAGACGAGGAGCUUGCUCCUCUGACGUUAGCGGCGGACGGGUGAGUAACACGUGGAUAACCUACCUAUAAGACUGGGAUAACUUCGGGAAACCGGAGCUAAUACCGGAUAAUAUAUUGAACCGCAUGGUUCAAUAGUGAAAGACGGUUUUGCUGUCACUUAUAGAUGGAUCCGCGCCGCAUUAGCUAGUUGGUAAGGUAACGGCUUACCAAGGCAACGAUGCGUAGCCGACCUGAGAGGGUGAUCGGCCACACUGAACUGAGACACGGUCCAGACUCCUACGGGAGGCAGCAGUAGGGAAUCUUCCGCAAUGGGCGAAAGCCUGACGGAGCAACGCCGCGUGAGUGAUGAAGGUCUUCGGAUCGUAAAACUCUGUUAUUAGGGAAGAACAAAUGUGUAAGUAACUAUGCACGUCUUGACGGUACCUAAUCAGAAAGCCACGGCCAACUACGUG